UACGUAGGGAGCAAGCGUUGUCCGGAAUCAUUGGGCGUAAAGCGCGCGUAGGUGGCUUCGUAAGUCCGUUGUGAAAGUCAAAGGCUCAACCUUUGAAAGCCGAUGGAUACUGCGGAGCUAGAGUACGGAAGAGGCGAGUGGAAUUCCUGGUGGUAGCGGUGGAAUGCGCAGAUAUCAAGGAGGAACACCAAUAGCGAAGGCAGCUCGCUGGGACGUUACUGACACUGAGGCGCGAAAGCGUGGGGAUCAAACAGGG
This 256-nucleotide ribosomal RNA is filed under the name uncultured bacterium. Its description in RNAcentral is "partial 16S ribosomal RNA". It matches the Rfam family "Bacterial small subunit ribosomal RNA", at positions 524 to 777 of the family's 1533-position model. The record is from RNAcentral.